This 492-nucleotide ribosomal RNA is filed under the name uncultured bacterium. RNAcentral's name for it is "partial 16S ribosomal RNA". It matches the Rfam family "Bacterial small subunit ribosomal RNA", at positions 29 to 507 of the family's 1533-position model. The record is from RNAcentral.
AGUGAACGCUGGCGGUAGGCCUAACACAUGCAAGUCGAACGGCAGCACAGUAAGAGCUUGCUCUUACGGGUGGCGAGUGGCGGACGGGUGAGGAAUACAUCGGAAUCUACUUUUUCGUGGGGGAUAACGUAGGGAAACUUACGCUAAUACCGCAUACGACCUACGGGUGAAAGCAGGGGAUCUUCGGACCUUGCGCGAUUGAAUGAGCCGAUGUCGGAUUAGCGAGUUGGCGGGGUAAAGGCCCACCAAGGCGACUAUCCGUAGCUGGUCUGAGAGGAUGAUCAGCCACACUGGAACUGAGACACGGUCCAGACUCCUACGGGAGGCAGCAGUGGGGAAUAUUGGACAAUGGGCGCAAGCCUGAUCCAGCCAUACCGCGUGGGUGAAGAAGGCCUUCGGGUUGUAAAGCCCUUUUGUUGGGAAAGAAAAGCAGCAGGUUAAUACCCCGCUGUUCUGACGGUACCCAAAGAAUAAGCACCGGCUAACUUCGUG